GACGUAGGGGGCCAGCGUUGUUCGGAAUUACUGGGUGUAAAGGGUUCGUAGGCGGUGCGGCAAGUUGGGAGUGAAAUCUCUGGGCUUAACCCAGAGGCUGCUUCCAAAACUGCUGUGCUUGAGUGUGGGAGAGGCGCGUGGAAUUCCCGGUGUAGCGGUGAAAUGCGCAGAUAUCGGGAAGAACACCCGUGGCGAAGGCGGCUCUCUGGGACGGUACUGACGCUGAGACGCGAAAGCGUGGGGAGCGAACAGG
Molecule: ribosomal RNA, 253 nt
Filed under: uncultured bacterium
Lineage: Bacteria
Description: partial 16S ribosomal RNA
Rfam family: Bacterial small subunit ribosomal RNA
Source: RNAcentral